CCGAAACAAUCUUCUAACAUUGGUCAAGAGGGUAGGAAGUAUCCAAGGAUAUAAAAUGAAUGUUGCUUCACUUGGAUAGAAAAGACGACAUCAGCCAUAUGUAUCAAUUGGAAAGAAAGCAGACAUCCAUCCCUUUUCAUCCUAUGCCGAUACACUGUAAGGUUCGACUAAGCAUUCACAGUAGAUAAGACGUAAGCUGGGAUUUAUAUAAUAUUCAUUCGUCCAUGACAUACUACCACCUAUUGAUAGAUCCACCUUCAUGCCUACCACCUAUUGAUAGAUCCACCUUCAUUCCCUUCUUCCUAUGGUUAGUGGAGCCUUUACCAUCUUAAUCUUAUUAUUAUUGUAUACUAUUUGGUUUGCAAUGUAGUCCCAGACCUAAUAAAUGUAAUCGCUGGACCUGCUAUUGCAUGUUUAUGAUCAGCUCUCUCAUCUUUCACUGCUAGGUUUCCGUCCGCUACGCUAGCCUAUUUCGUAGUUUCAGGUGGUUAAAUACUGCCUUCGCUUCGAUCCGUUGACCCGGGCAACCUCGCCCCUCAUCGCUUGUUCGAGAGCUAGAACAAACAACACCGGUUAGAUUCGAUUGCUAGCCAGGGGAAGGGGAUAUCCUUUCUAUUGGUAAGUUCUUAGCAGAUAUAAAAGAAAGGUGCACAAAGCUACGUGCGUGGGCUAUAAGAACUAACGCUAUAGGCUCACGCGAACUCACUCCCGGCCAUAUAAGACCAAACACUAACAUACCUGGCAGUGUCUCAUGUUUCUUUCAUCGCGUAAUACAGUCUUAAGCCAAUGUUUGAUAUAGAGUAAUACUGUCUUCCGCCAAGCUGCUAAUCCCUAGAGCUAGAGAAAUAAGAAGUCCGGGUUGGCAAAGUCAACUUCACUUCCUUAUAGCUAGAGCUAGAGAAAUAAGAAGUCCGGGUUGGCAAAGUCAACUUCCUUAUAGAUUAGCAGUUUUUACAAGAAAGGAGUUUCACUUAUACAUUCGUUUUUCAAAGAGUGGAUUAGAGGGUUAGCAUGGAAUUACUUAAGUGGAUUAGAGGGUUAGCAUGGAAUUACUUAAGAAUGAGCACGAUUACUUCAAAAUAGACUGAGCACGAGGCUUACAUACUCGGAUUGUAGGGUUCCUCAGCCCAUUACGUUCAAGCUGAGCACGCUUAUUCACAUGAGAAAGAUGAUAGCAUAGAUUAUACCUUCCAUGAGAAAGAUGAUAGCAUAGAUUAUACCUUCUUGGGACCUGCCUUAAUCCAUUUCCAUCCUUGGCUGAAACUAGAAGUGACUAUAAGCCUUUUCUUCCUAUUGUUUGAUCUUAAUGGCGAUCCCCUGAUGUUCAUGCCAUGUAGAACGAGGUAGGUAUUUACAAAUUCCGUAGCAGCUGUAAGCCCUCCUCCUUCCAUGUGGCACCGCGCUCCCGAUCUCCAAGUCUUCUCUUCGGGGUAACCCUUCCAAAAGCACGUCCUCUGACCUCUUUAAGAAACCGACAAGUAACAGCUAACCAACCUUUACUUAAAUGGAAAGGAUGAGACCAAAGUCCCAAUACCUAAAACCAAUCACACUAUAAUAUAACCUCUUCCAAAUAGGAUAUCUACAGGGGCAGUCAAAUCAGAAUGAGGGAAAGGACGGAAUCCGCAGCUAGUGGGCUAGCGCCGAAGGAUUCUCACUCUCCAAGCAAGAAAGGGCAAGCAAGGUGCUGAAAGCCUACUAAAUAGGAAUGCUGCCACUACUGAUAAGGCUGAAAUCACUACCGGAAAGAGCUGGACUGGGAACUCGGGAGCUAACUACUGAUCUGGAUCUUUGUCUGUUUGCUUUUCAACUGAUACUCAUGACAGUUAAGUUAGCCUUACACCCUUCCUUUACUUAUUUGAUUGACUUAUUUGAGAAUAUGUUUUCGUAUCUCAAUCCAGUACUGCUAUAUUAUUAGCUUUAUUCUCUAUUAGGUGUUUCUGUCUUAUUGGUAGCAUUUGCAUUCUUUAUAGCAUUGGUUUGACUCCGCUAUUAGUAGCUGGGUUCCCACUUCUUAGUGUAAGUAUUAGAAACUUAGUGUAAGUAUUAGAAACACUCUUUCCCGCUCUCUUGGUCUGUAACUCCCAACCCUGAAACUGAUACCCUUGCCUUCCAUUCUGUAGGGAACCCUCGCCAGAGGUUCUUCCAAUCAUAUCUUUGACUCUUACUUAUUCAUUUCAUUAUUCAUUUAAGUUACUCAGUUCACUUAUAUGAUAUUGAUUAGUCAGUUAUUAAGUAUAGAGGUCAACAAACAGCAAGUACUAUUUCGAUUUUAUGAUCCAAAACCU
This 2285-nucleotide long non-coding RNA is filed under the name Musa acuminata (dwarf banana). RNAcentral's name for it is "long non-coding RNA (MACU_LNC007402)". The record is from RNAcentral. Lineage: Eukaryota; Viridiplantae; Streptophyta; Magnoliopsida; Zingiberales; Musaceae.